Molecule: ribosomal RNA, 254 nt
Filed under: uncultured bacterium
Lineage: Bacteria
Description: partial 16S ribosomal RNA
Rfam family: Bacterial small subunit ribosomal RNA
Source: RNAcentral
UACGUAGGGGGCAAGCGUUGUCCGGAUUCAUUGGGCGUAAAGAGCUCGUAGGCGGCUUGGCAAGUCGGGUGUGAAAACUCCAGGCUCAACCUGGAGACGCCACCCGAUACUGCCAUGGCUAGAGUCCGGUAGGGGACCACGGAAUUCCUGGUGUAGCGGUGAAAUGCGCAGAUAUCAGGAGGAACACCGGUGGCGAAGGCGGAUCUCUGGGCCUGUCCUGACGCUCAGGCGCGAAAGCUAGGGGAGCAAACAGG